This 1183-nucleotide long non-coding RNA is filed under the name Nicotiana tabacum (common tobacco). RNAcentral's name for it is "long non-coding RNA (NTAB_LNC014103)". Lineage: Eukaryota; Viridiplantae; Streptophyta; Magnoliopsida; Solanales; Solanaceae. The record is from RNAcentral.
ACAAGCCUUGCGGAAACCAGUAAAACCAGCGCCCUUAGCCAAAGCCUCAAAUUCCUUCUCAGUCCUUUCUUUGCCUCCUGGGUUAUGUGCUAACAUCACAAUAUCAACAUGUACUGUAUUCUUAGUUGCAAGUGAUGUAUCUGGGGCCUCUGGAAGUAUGCACUCUGCAAUUAUCACCUUCCCAUUUGCAGGUAGUGCUUCAUAGCAAUUCUUCAAGAAUUUUAGGCAAUGCUCAUCGCUCCAAUCAUGACAAAUCCACUGCACCAAUAUAUUACGUUAUCCUCUGAAUUACAUCUUCGAUUUAAAAUAAUAAUAAUAAAAGCAAGAAGAUAAGCGAGUUUAACUUUUAUAUACUGACUUUAUAAUCAGGGAGCGGAUCUACAAGUGACUAUUCAUAAUAGGUGGUGGCAUUAAUUAAUAACAGUAAAUUUUAUGGGUAGUCAUUCAGCUUUAGGUUCAUUACCCAAAAGUUACUUUGUUUUGUUACGUAAAGUCGUUCAACUUUGUGAUCAUUACUUAAAAGUUACUUUUCCUUUCUUUUGUUACACAAAAAUCAUUUCAUUAUACUCUAAUUAUAUUUGUUUAAGAUAGUAUAAAAAUCUUUACAAUGUAAGUGUUUAUGAGUUAGAAUAACUCCUUAGGAGAAAGGGACACGUAACUUCGGGAGGAUGGGUGCUCUCCCAUCUUUUGAUUAAGAAAGCACCAAUGCAAUAUUUGUUGGUGUGGGGUUGGGUAGUUAGUCAUUACCUUCAUGAAAAUGGCAUCUGCUUUUGGCACACUAGCAAACAUGUCGCCACCAACGUGCUCGACACCUAAUUAAAAGUUACGAAAGUGAUUGAUGAGCAAUACAAACUAGAACAAAAACAUUAAUGCCAUUAAUAAUCAAAUGUAGCUGAAGGGGGAGAAUGGAUUUUAGCUUAAUUACCGGGGUAAGUUGGAGCAUCUCCAAUUACAUGUGGCAAAUCAAAGUUAAUGCCCUUAAUAGAGGGAUAUUUAGAGACAAUCAUGUUAACUGUAGCACCCGUUCCACCACCAACAUCAACAAUGGAAUUUAGGCCUUCAAAUCCUUUGUAGUCCUCAAGAAUCUUCUUCAUUGACAUAGUGGAGUGAUCAGACAUUCCACGGUUGAACACUUUGUUGAAUCUUGGAUCUGUGCCAUGGUACUCAAAUGCUGUCAUUCCAU